This 2331-nucleotide long non-coding RNA is filed under the name Salvia miltiorrhiza (redroot sage). Its description in RNAcentral is "long non-coding RNA (SMIL_LNC001932)". Lineage: Eukaryota; Viridiplantae; Streptophyta; Magnoliopsida; Lamiales; Lamiaceae. The record is from RNAcentral.
UGGGCCAGCCUCAAGCGAAUGGGCCGGGCAGGAUUGGGCUUGACCGAGACAACACAGGUCUGCCCGAGUAUCUGCGUUACGACGUCGUUUUCUCUGCAACCCAAUUUCUUGCUUCCCAGCUCAGUUCGCAUCAUAAAUCGCUGCCUCCAUUCUCACACUCAGUCGUCUCAACCUUCGAUCUCCCCCGAAAACGACGCCGUAGCAAGCAAUGGCCACCUCACUUGCCGCCAUGACGGCUCGCAGAGCUGCAACCCUCGCUCGGCUCNAAAGGCGAGCAUCAAAGACUUGGAUUGGGGUACGAAUUUUAAACCCGGAGGUUGCCUACAGAGGUCAAACAUCUUGUGAAGGCUCUCCAUGCUCAAUCGGGAUUCAGGCAUGGAUUUGGGCGUCCUAGGGGCUUUCUUCUUGCUCUUGGAGGUUUUAGGGGUUUCGGAAGUGGGGAGAGAAGAUCCAGAAGCCGAUGGAGAAGUCCGGGGAGAACUAGGGUUCGAAGGAGGGGGAGAAUCAACCGGGGAGGGUACAGGAGAGGGAGAAGGGGAGGGGAAAAAGUCAGGCUGGGCACCAGGGGCGGAGGAGGAAGCCAUUAUCGGAAAAAAUCUAAAAAAUCCUAGGGUUUUUCACGCUCAAUCAGAGCACCAACAAAUCUCAACACCACUUUAUAACUAAACACAAAUAUCGGGAGAGGAGGAUACGCGAGUUACCUAAGUCAAAGAAAGAUCGACGGUAAAGACUGGAACAGAAGGGUCGCAGGGAGAGGAUCGCUGGAAAUCGCAGAUGAAGGAAUUCGGAAAAACUGAAGAAGAUGAAUAGUGGAAAGUAAAAAUUCGAAUCGACUAAGUAAAGGGUACGUGGGCAACUACCAACAUACGAGAUGAACGACACGUGGCCCUAAAAAAGCAAUCAACGGUCAAGGAUUUCUGCGGGGAGGCGAAAGGACGUGAGGGCUGAAAAAGUUAACCUGGGGAUACGAAAAAGCACUGUAGAAAGGGCAGGCAUUUAAUGCGGGUGACGUCAGCCACGCGAAUGAACACUCUGACUAGGUUGCUUUGUUCCAGAGUAAACUAGUCAGACCCGAGGGAGGGUGUGGUUGAUGAGGAGUAAUAUGUGCAGAGCAGAGAAAUGACGGUACCAGGGGAAUCAUGGGGAGCAGCGAGACGGCUCUCGCCAGAGGAAUCACCCUCGCCAGAGGAAUCACACUCGCCAGAGGAAUGGUUUUUGCCAGAGGAAUCGUUCUCGCCAGAGGAAUCGUUCUCGCCAGCGGAAUCACCGAAAUGCGGGGAAAUCUCCCGCGUAGAGGCGACUUUACCAUUAUGCCCCCGACCACGCAAGACGCAUGCUCCGGUGUUGAUUUUACUGUUUUACCCUCCAUAUGUAAUCUAUAAAUAUUAGCAUACGUGCUCAUAUGUAACUUACGCUAUUUUUCAUACUCAAUACAACAACAGCUCUUCUCUCGUUCUAGCACUCCGAUUACUUCCAUUAUCUUCUCCGAUCAAUCGCAACUAGGUAUAACUCACGACCCAUUCACAAUUCACCGAUUAGUUAGCUACCCACCCGCUCAUGUUUCACCAGAAUAUAACUCGAAAUCAAAUAGAGUUAAUUUGAAAUCGAGUGGGCUAGUCCUAGUCAUAUUUAACAAAGAAAGAAAAUUAUCAUAUGCUCACAAUUCAGAAUUUAUAUUUUAAAAUGCCUUUGUAGUCAAACUUAUAUAGUUAUAUCUCACUAUAUAAUACUCCCUCCGUCCACGAAAUGAGUACCCAUAUUUUCUUUUUCGUCCGUCCACGAAAUGAGUACCAAUUUCUCUUUUUGGCAAGUGCACCCCACACAUCUCUUUAAUUAAUACACUCAAAAAGUGGGACCCUUAAACUAUUCACACUACACUCCAUACAUUUCUUAAAACCCGUGACGUCCACAAAUGGAUACUCAUUUCGUGGACGGAGGGAGUAGAAAGUAAAAACACCACAACAUAUUUUCUUCUAUCCUGGGCCAGCCUCAAGCGAAUGGGCCGGGCAGGAUUGGGCUUGACCGAGACAACACUGGUCUGCCCGAGUAUCUGCGUUACGACGUCGUUUUCUCUGCAACCCAAUUUCUUCCUUCGCUACUCAGUUCGCAUCAUAAAUCGCUGCCUCCAUUCUCACACUCAGUCGUCUCAACCUUCGAUCUCCCCCGAAAACGACGCCGUAGCAAGCAAUGGCCACCUCACUUGCCGCCAUGACGGCUCGCAGAGCUGCAACCCUCGCUAGGCUCUCGCCGUCCACCGCGUCGGCCGCUCGAGCCGCUUCUCUGAUUCCCCGCCGCGGCCUCGCCGGCGCCUCUGGUACUGAUCUGAAGACG